GCGUGAUAAUUCGCCCUUUAAUUGUGGGCUAGAAUGAAUGGACAAACGAAAGAUCAGCUGUCUCUAAAUUAUAUAUAAAAAUUGACCUACAGGUGAAGAGACCUGUAUCUAAAUAAAGGACAAGAAGACCCCGUAGAGCUCCGCCUUUAAUUGAAUAAUAAUAAUAAUUACUAAAUAAUUAAUUAACUCUUCAAUUUAGGCUUGGCUGGGGCGGCCAAGGAGAAAAUCUAUCCUCCAUUUUCAUCUUUUUAGCUUUUUAAGGUUAUUUUACCGCAACCUAAAUUGACCCUUUUCAGAUUAUAAAAACAAGCUACCUCGGGGAUAACAGAUUAAUCCUUCUAGAGAGCUCACAUUGACAGAAGGGAUUGACACCUCGAUGUUGGCUUAGGAUAUCCUAUAAACAGCAGCAAUUUAUAAGGGUAGGUUUGUUCAACCUUUAAAAUCCU
Molecule: ribosomal RNA, 446 nt
Filed under: Loimia ramzega
Lineage: Eukaryota; Metazoa; Annelida; Polychaeta; Terebellida; Terebellidae
Description: partial 16S ribosomal RNA
Rfam family: Bacterial large subunit ribosomal RNA
Source: RNAcentral